This 415-nucleotide long non-coding RNA is filed under the name Homo sapiens (human). Its description in RNAcentral is "non-protein coding lnc-ERP44-3:5". The record is from RNAcentral. Lineage: Eukaryota; Metazoa; Chordata; Mammalia; Primates; Hominidae.
CUUUAUUUCAGGAAAGAAGAACUAGGUCUGGCAGUAGAUCAGAAUCUACCUGUUGGGGAAAACCAGAAAUAGGAAGAAGAGUUAUUAAUGGUUCAUUCUUGGCUGAGAAGAAUUCAGUAUGGAAUAAUUAAGAACUACUAUCAAUGCCUUUUACAAAAUGAGGUCAUUGGAUUGCAGAGUUGGCUUUCGAGAAGAUUUUGUGGCCUUUCUCAGCUGUCUAGGUGCUGUAGGUGCUGUGUUUCUAUGGCUGCAAGGAUGAAGGUAACAUGGAUGAGGGAGGCUGAUGAGGCAUGUUUUGGUUGUUAUAUAAAGCAAGGCUCACAAAUGCAGCAAUAAGGACAUUGAUUUUUUUCCCUUGGCUACUUUGCAGUGGAGAUAAAUUGCCACCAGGUGAAUGGUGGUACCUUGAUUAUUU